AUGGGAAGAUGGAGAUGGAUGUUGAGGGAGUUUCUCCGCGCCCGGAGCCCAUCCCCCGCUCCCAAGGGGUUGGCGGAGCCUGCCAGGCGCCGCCACAGCCGCCCCAGCCCCAGCUGCCGCCGCAGCCGCUGGCUCAGGAUGAACUGCCCGGCGAGAGUGCCGGCGCUGAGGACAGCGACGAUCCCGAGACGAGACCCAACGGCGAGAAAGGAGAGAGCAAGAGAUACCAUGGACUUUAAGGUGAUGAAUACCACAAUGAGCUCACUACAAGAUCUCAAAGAUUCCAAGCCACUGGCUAUUCCAAAGCAUAAAGCCACCCUUCAGGAGAAGCGUUGGGAGGCAGGCUGAGGGGAGGUAAGGAAUCAUCCACUCUUCCCUCUGCCCCUUGACUCCAUCAGCCUUUCACUAUCAGAUUGUUUGGGCUCUUUCCUGAUGAGCAUUUUUCUUUGUGUUCUUCCUUAGGCCCUGAGUUUUUGCCAGAGGAUGGAUCACCCCUUUGGGUGUCCUGGGAGCCACUGAAGCAUAGUGAGGAAGGUGUUGCAGAUGCACAGGACAGAAACCCAGAAACUGGAACCAACAGGCACCUAAAGUUGACUCGCACCCAGCAUCCCUGCAGACUGAUGUUCUCUGAGCUGUAGUUCUUCACUGGACUGUUUUUCCUUUGCUAUCACCUGCCUAACACAUAGUGCUGGAUGCUUUUGACUGGUUGGAUUUCUUUUUUUUUUUUCCUGUAUUUUUUCUUUCCUUGAUUCUGGGAAUUAUAAAAAAAAAAUUGCUUUAAAAAGUAUUAUUCUGUGCUGAAAUUAGCCUUGUUUAUGAAGAAGUUUUAUCCCUAGGGAUUUCCUGAAUUGCAGCCCCAGGUUACCUGGUAAAUAGGGCUGUGUUGUUUGAUUUGUAUAGUACUGAUCUGUAGGUUAAAAUACAUUUCCUUUCUUUUGUUUCAUUCUUUUUUUAAAAAGUUUGGAUCCAGGUAGUGGCCUGAGUCACAUUUGCUUAGCUACUGAAGCGAUCUCAACGUGGUAUCGCUUAGAUUUGAAACAUAAUCAAACAUACAUUAUACCUGAGGCUCUUGCACACUAUUUGACGUAUAUGUUACACUACAAAGAAACACAAACCUUGUGGCUUGAAAUUUAAUUCCUGUUUGAUCCUGCAGCUAGAAUGCUAAAGAAAUUGUAAAUAUCAAAAGUGGCUUCAAAUACCCUGAAUGUAAGCUAGUCAACAGUAAGUGGAUGGUUUCAGAAUACCAUUUUCUAAGACAAAGCAGGAAUUAGAGAUCUACUGCCCACAUCCACAAUGUUGCUCAGGUCUGUCUGUGGAUCUGUCCAUUUUGGAGUAAAGAACAAGGCAUGCUUCUGUGAUUGUGCUUACGAAAACUGUGGUGUUUCCGAUUUAUGUUUUGUAAUUGUGCCUGCCUUGCAAUAAAACACCUUCAGUUGACUCAGCAAUAAGGUCUCUGUCAAUUUCCUGCAAAACUGUGUCUUUAGUAGCUUUCUAAGAAAGUCCAGUGUAGACCUAUCAGUGGUUGACCUGUUAGACAUUUCAGCUGGACCUAGCAUUAUUGCUCUUUCAGAAAUAGCACCAGAGCUGUCCAUUGUCUACACAUGUGGUCAGUUAUAUGGUCAGCUUCUCAAUUUUUCUUAUUACCAUCAGCUACAGAAAUCUCUAGUCACAGCCUAACCCUGUUACGUAGAUGUGCGGCCAUCUGCCAUCGUGUUCUAACUCUGGAGUCCCUAUUUAUUUCUGAGACUCUAGGACAAGCCAAAAACCCUCUGGACCUCAGUGUCUUCAUAAACAAAAUGGGGAUAAUGAUACUUCCUGUGAUUGUGGUGAUAAGUGCCUGUAAAAGGGCAUUACAUAGAUGGUACUUUGAACAUUGUAAAUUCAUUUGGAUGUGGCAAUACUCAAUGAAUGGUGGCUAUUUUAUUUGUUAAUAAAG
Long non-coding RNA from Saimiri boliviensis boliviensis (Bolivian squirrel monkey), 1936 nucleotides. The record is from Ensembl. Lineage: Eukaryota; Metazoa; Chordata; Mammalia; Primates; Cebidae.